Molecule: ribosomal RNA, 427 nt
Filed under: uncultured bacterium
Lineage: Bacteria
Description: partial 16S ribosomal RNA
Rfam family: Bacterial small subunit ribosomal RNA
Source: RNAcentral
UGGGGAAUAUUGCACAAUGGGCGCAAGCCUGAUGCAGCCAUGCCGCGUGUAUGAAGAAGGCCUUCGGGUUGUAAAGUACUUUCAGCGGGGAGGAAGGCGAUAAGGUUAAUAACCUUGUCGAUUGACGUUACCCGCAGAAGAAGCACCGGCUAACUCCGUGCCAGCAGCCGCGGUAAUACGGAGGGUGCAAGCGUUAAUCGGAAUUACUGGGCGUAAAGCGCACGCAGGCGGUCUGUCAAGUCGGAUGUGAAAUCCCCGGGCUCAACCUGGUAACUGCAUUCGAAACUGGCAGGCUAGAGUCUUGUAGAGGGGGGUAGAAUUCCAGGUGUAGCGGUGAAAUGCGUAGAGAUCUGGAGGAAUACCGGUGGCGAAGGCGGCCCCCUGGACAAAGACUGACGCUCAGGUGCGAAAGCGUGGGGAGCAAACA